CAGUUAGCCAGUCGAGUCGCUCGCUCUCUCGCCGGCUAUUCUGAAAAUAAACGCGUUCGAGAUCUCGCGGGCUCCUCGGCCCGCCAGUGUCGGUCGUAUCGUCGCGCGCGACGCUUCGGGUUUCAACGGACCGCUCGGCCAACGAACGGGAAACUUUUCUGUACGCUUUGCACACGAGAGGUGACUCUCAGUCAUCGUUUCGUUCGAUAUAUAGUGGGGCCUCGAGCUGCGUUCUCCUGAGUUACGUCGUCUCUACACGCGAGAAAAACUUUCGAGUGCAAAGGGUUAACACUUUAUCCACCGCUGGUGAUCGAGACAACUACAUGCUAGUUGACAAUAUUGUUCUCGACAAGUCGUAGGGGUGUGUCUUCACUUGCAAAACUCUGCAACUUUAAAAUCAAGCGUAGGAUCACCGAGGUCGCUAGAAUCAAAGGGUUCUUGUAGAAAACUGUGAGUGC
Molecule: non-coding RNA, 458 nt
Organism: Nomia melanderi (Alkali bee)
Lineage: Eukaryota; Metazoa; Arthropoda; Insecta; Hymenoptera; Halictidae
Source: RefSeq, a predicted model, not a curated record